GUUUAUAGCUAUACUACUCUGAACGUGCACUCGAUCUCAUCUCAUCUCGGAAGCUAAGCAGGGUUGGGCCUGGUUAGUACUUGGAUGGGAGAUUCUGCAUUAUGGUGAGUUGCAUAAUUA
Molecule: ribosomal RNA, 120 nt
Filed under: Propithecus coquereli (Coquerel's sifaka)
Lineage: Eukaryota; Metazoa; Chordata; Mammalia; Primates; Indriidae
Source: RNAcentral